UGCAGUCGAGCGGACAGAAGGGAGCUUGCUCCCGGAUGUUAGCGGCGGACGGGUGAGUAACACGUGGGUAACCUGCCUGUAAGACUGGGAUAACUCCGGGAAACCGGAGCUAAUACCGGAUAGUUCCUUGAACCGCAUGGUUCAAGGAUGAAAGACGGUUUCGGCUGUCACUUACAGAUGGACCCGCGGCGCAUUAGCUAGUUGGUGAGGUAACGGCUCACCAAGGCGACGAUGCGUAUCCGACCUGAGAGGGUGAUCGGCCACACUGGGACUGAGACCGGCCCACACUCCUACGGGAGGCAGCCGUAUGGAAUCUUCCCCAAUGGACUAAAGUCUGAC
This 339-nucleotide ribosomal RNA is filed under the name Bacillus sp. 9AU. Its description in RNAcentral is "bacterial SSU rRNA". It matches the Rfam family "Bacterial small subunit ribosomal RNA", at positions 56 to 387 of the family's 1533-position model. The record is from RNAcentral. Lineage: Bacteria; Bacillati; Bacillota; Bacilli; Caryophanales; Bacillaceae.